GGGCCCAUAGCUCAGUUGGUUAGAGCAGAGGACUCAUAAUCCUUUGGUCCACGGUUCGAGUCCGUGUGGGCUCA
RNAcentral lists this transfer RNA (74 nucleotides) under Pseudomonas syringae pv. avellanae str. ISPaVe037. RNAcentral describes it as "tRNA-Met". It matches the Rfam family "tRNA". Rfam says of the family: Transfer RNA (tRNA) molecules are approximately 80 nucleotides in length. Their secondary structure includes four short double-helical elements and three loops (D, anti-codon, and T loops). Further hydrogen bonds mediate the characteristic L-shaped molecular structure. tRNAs have two regions of fundamental functional importance: the anti-codon, which is responsible for specific mRNA codon recognition, and the 3' end, to which the tRNAs corresponding amino acid is attached (by aminoacyl-tRNA synthetases). tRNAs cope with the degeneracy of the genetic code in two manners: having more than one tRNA (with a specific anti-codon) for a particular amino acid; and 'wobble' base-pairing, i.e. permitting non-standard base-pairing at the 3rd anti-codon position. The record is from RNAcentral. Lineage: Bacteria; Pseudomonadati; Pseudomonadota; Gammaproteobacteria; Pseudomonadales; Pseudomonadaceae.